GAUGAACGCUGGCGGCGUGCCUAAUACAUGCAAGUCGAGCGAACAGAUGAGGAGCUUGCUCCUCUGACGUUAGCGGCGGACGGGUGUGUAACACGUGGAUAACCUACCUAUAAGACUGGGAUAACUUCGGGAAACCGGAGCUAAUACCGGAUAAUAUAUUGAACCGCAUGGUUCAAUAGUGAAAGACGGUUUUGCUGUCACUUAUAGAUGGAUCCGCGCCGCAUUAGCUAGUUGGUAAGGUAACGGCUUACCAAGGCAACGAUGCGUAGCCGACCUGAGAGGGUGAUCGGCCACACUGGAACUGGGACACGGUCCAUACUCCUGCGGGAGGCAGCAGUAGGGAAUCUUCCGCAAUGGGCGAAAGCAUGACGGAGCAACGCCGCGUGAGUGAUGAAGGUCUUCGGAUCGUAAAACUCUGUUAUUAGGGAAGAACAAAUGUGUAAGUAACUAUGCACGUCUUGACGGUACCUAAUCAGAAAGCCACGGCUAACUACGUG
RNAcentral lists this ribosomal RNA (497 nucleotides) under uncultured bacterium. RNAcentral describes it as "partial 16S ribosomal RNA". It matches the Rfam family "Bacterial small subunit ribosomal RNA", at positions 28 to 507 of the family's 1533-position model. The record is from RNAcentral.